Molecule: ribosomal RNA, 650 nt
Filed under: uncultured Actinomycetes bacterium
Lineage: Bacteria; Bacillati; Actinomycetota; Actinomycetes
Description: bacterial SSU rRNA
Rfam family: Bacterial small subunit ribosomal RNA
Source: RNAcentral
CUGAGACACGGCCCAGACUCCUACGGGAGGCAGCAGUGGGGAAUAUUGCACAAUGGGCGCAAGCCUGAUGCAGCAACGCCGCGUGAGGGACGACGGCCUUCGGGUUGUAAACCUCUUUUAGUAGGGAAGAAGCGAAAGUGACGGUACCUGCAGAAAAAGCACCGGCUAAUUACGUGCCAGCAGCCGCGGUAAUACGUAGGGUGCAAGCGUUGUCCGGAAUUAUUGGGCGUAAAGAGCUCGUAGGCGGUCUGUCGCGUCUGCUGUGAAAACCCGAGGCUCAACCUCGGGCCUGCAGUGGGUACGGGCAGACUAGAGUGCGGUAGGGGAGAUUGGAAUUCCUGGUGUAGCGGUGGAAUGCGCAGAUAUCAGGAGGAACACCGAUGGCGAAGGCAGAUCUCUGGGCCGUAACUGACGCUGAGGAGCGAAAGCGUGGGGAGCGAACAGGAUUAGAUACCCUGGUAGUCCACGCCGUAAACGUUGGGCGCUAGAUGUGGGGACCAUUCCACGGUUUCCGUGUCGCAGCUAACGCAUUAAGCGCCCCGCCUGGGGAGUACGGCCGCAAGGCUAAAACUCAAAGGAAUUGACGGGGGCCCGCACAAGCGGCGGAGCAUGCGGAUUAAUUCGAUGCAACGCGAAGAACCUUACCAACA